This 236-nucleotide ribosomal RNA is filed under the name uncultured bacterium. RNAcentral describes it as "partial 16S ribosomal RNA". It matches the Rfam family "Bacterial small subunit ribosomal RNA", at positions 100 to 334 of the family's 1533-position model. The record is from RNAcentral.
CGGCACGGGUGAGUAACACGUAUCCAACCUGCCGUCUACUCUUGGACAGCCUUCUGAAAGGAAGAUUAAUACAAGAUGGCAUCAUGAGUUCACAUGUUCACAUGAUUAAAGGUAUUCCGGUAGACGAUGGGGAUGCGUUCCAUUAGAUAGUAGGCGGGGUAACGGCCCACCUAGUCUUCGAUGGAUAGGGGUUCCGAGAGGAAGGUCCCCCACAUUGGAACUGAGACACGGUCCAA